UAAGAAAAGACAGAUCGCAUGAUCAAGCUUUUAAAAGGCGGCGUAAAGCUGUCGCUAUGGGGAUGGCCCCGGCGGUGCAUUAGCUAGUUGGUAAGGUAAAGGCUUACCAAGGGCGAUGAUGCAUAGCCCGAGUUGAGAGACUGAUCGGCCACGAUUGGGGACUGAGACACGGGCCCAAACUCCUACGGGAGGCAGCAGUAGGGAAUCUUCCACAAUGGACGCAAGUCUGAUGGAGCAAACGCCGCGUGAGUGAAGAAGGUUUUCGGAUCGUAAAGCUCUGUUGUUGGUGAAGAAGGAUAGAGGUAGUAACUGGCCCUUUAUUUGACGGUAAUCAACCAGAAAGUCACGGGCUAACUACGUGCCAGCAGCCGCGGUAAAU
RNAcentral lists this ribosomal RNA (379 nucleotides) under uncultured Lactobacillus sp. Its description in RNAcentral is "bacterial SSU rRNA". It matches the Rfam family "Bacterial small subunit ribosomal RNA", at positions 172 to 525 of the family's 1533-position model. The record is from RNAcentral. Lineage: Bacteria; Bacillati; Bacillota; Bacilli; Lactobacillales; Lactobacillaceae.